CGGACCAGGCUUCAUUCCC
This 19-nucleotide non-coding RNA is filed under the name Arabidopsis thaliana (thale cress). The record is from RNAcentral. Lineage: Eukaryota; Viridiplantae; Streptophyta; Magnoliopsida; Brassicales; Brassicaceae. RNAcentral also lists the same sequence under 1 other name.